This is a small nucleolar RNA of Ochotona princeps (American pika), 131 nucleotides long. RefSeq annotates it as small nucleolar RNA SNORA33. Lineage: Eukaryota; Metazoa; Chordata; Mammalia; Lagomorpha; Ochotonidae. The record is from RefSeq and is a predicted model, not a curated record. The transcript has a single exon.
AAGCCAGCCCUUGAAUCUGCAUACCUGAAUGUGUUUGUGCAGAAAUCCUAGAAAAAGCUGGCAAUAGUAACACCAUGUUACGAGCCUUAAUGACAUUAGUGUCAUUGAGGUCCCUGAAAAUGGUUACAUAU